This 547-nucleotide ribosomal RNA is filed under the name uncultured bacterium. RNAcentral's name for it is "partial 16S ribosomal RNA". It matches the Rfam family "Bacterial small subunit ribosomal RNA", at positions 355 to 895 of the family's 1533-position model. The record is from RNAcentral.
UGGGGAAUUUUGGACAAUGGGCGCAAGCCUGAUCCAGCCAUGCCGCGUGCGGGAAGAAGGCCUUCGGGUUGUAAACCGCUUUUGUCAGGGAAGAAAUCUUCUGAGUUAAUACCUCGGGAGGAUGACGGUACCUGAAGAAUAAGCGCCGGCUAACUACGUGCCAGCAGCCGCGGUAAUACGUAGGGUGCAAGCGUUAAUCGGAAUUACUGGGCGUAAAGCGUGCGCAGGCGGUUUUGUAAGACAGAGGUGAAAUCCCCGGGCUCAACCUGGGAACUGCCUUUGUGACUGCAAGGCUUGAGUGCGGCAGAGGGGGGAUGGAAUUCCGCGUGUAGCAGUGAAAUGCGUAGAUAUGCGGAGGAACACCGAUGGCGAAGGCAAUCCCCUGGGCCUGCACUGACGCUCAUGCACGAAAGCGUGGGGAGCAAACAGGAUUAGAUACCCUGGUAGUCACGCCCUAAACGAUGUCAACUGGUUGUUGGGAAGGUUCCUUCUCAGUAACGUAGCUAACGCGUGAAGUUGACCGCCUGGGGAGUACGGCCGCAAGGUU